Molecule: microRNA precursor, 76 nt
Filed under: Myotis lucifugus (little brown bat)
Lineage: Eukaryota; Metazoa; Chordata; Mammalia; Chiroptera; Vespertilionidae
Description: mir-9229 microRNA precursor family
Rfam family: mir-9229 microRNA precursor family
Source: Rfam by way of RNAcentral
GAGACACCCUUAUGGAGCAGGACUUGCUUCAGUGGGACUUUGGUGUUCACUGAGUCUGCCCCAUGAGUGUGUCACU